CUUAAAGUGGGGAGUGACAGCUGUACGAAAGAUUGGUUUUCUUCGGACACUCUUCAAGGUGCUGCAUGGUUGUCGUCAGCUCGUGCCGUGAGGUGUCGGGUUAAGUCCCAUAACGAGCGCAACCCUUACCGUUAGUUACCAUCAGGUUAAGCGUGGGGACUCUAGCGGGACUGCCACCGUAAGGUGAGAGGAAGGUGGGGAUGACGUCAAAUCAGCACGGCCCUUAUGUCCAGGGCUACACACGUGUUACAAUGGCCGGUACAAAGGGCAGCUACUUCGCGAGAAGAUGCUAAUCUCGAAAGCCGGUCUCAGUUCGGAUCGAAGUCUGCAACCCGACUUCGUGAAGCUGGAUUCGCUAGUAAUCGCGCAUCAGCCAAGCCGCGGUGAAUACGUUCCCGGGCCUU
This 404-nucleotide ribosomal RNA is filed under the name uncultured Sphingobacteriales bacterium. RNAcentral's name for it is "bacterial SSU rRNA". It matches the Rfam family "Bacterial small subunit ribosomal RNA", at positions 980 to 1382 of the family's 1533-position model. Lineage: Bacteria; Pseudomonadati; Bacteroidota; Sphingobacteriia; Sphingobacteriales. The record is from RNAcentral.